UGCUGGUCCUAUAUGGGUUUGAGAAAGCUAAUUAACCAUCAAAAGUGGAGCCAGUCAUAUAUCUUUCUUGCAUCUUUGGUUCUCGGAUUUGCCUGUGUAAUUCAUCAAGUGCAAGAGGCCUCCAAGUACAAGGCCCUUCACUGUCAUCAAAAACAGGAAGUCUUUGUUUGAAGAUUUAGAAGCACAUUACUAAUACAAGUAAGAGGUGUUAAGAAGCUUCACAUCUCAGGCAUUGAAAACUUCCAGAAUGCACAGUAUUAGUUGUGUCACCUAUGAAGCCAGAUUCCUCUGCUUCAACAAUUCUGUAGACAUGAGGAAGGCGAAUAUGGAUUUUUUGCAUCCAUGUACUGCUAAUAGAGUAACUGAGCUUCCCGGGUUUAAAGAUGAAGUUCUUAUCAACUUCAUUCAUGGUCUUUUGGAUGUAAAGGAAGUGAAUGGAAAAGAAAUUCAAAUUUCUUUUGGUACUCUAUACUGUAAACAAUGAGGAAUUAAAUGAGCAAUACCUGAUACCAACAAUAUCAUGAAACUCAUAAACUUAAAUAAAAAUACCAGUACAUAAAAAAAGGAUUGAUGAUAAAGACUUCAGAGUUCAGACCAAAGGCAAAAAAAAAAAAAAAAAGGAUACGUUUCAGAACGUUGAUGGAUGAAAUAGAUGGAAGCGCUUUACUCAAUGCAAUGCUAAGAUAAGCAAGGAGGCUGGAGGAGAGUUUAAUAUUUUUGAUGGGUCGGUGAUGGGUGCUUACUCUUGAGGAACCUGAACGUGGUCUUACCAUCGUCAAGCUAACGCAUGUGGAUGUUCCUGAAGAGGACAGUGGCAGUCCAUCACAUCCAACAGCAAAUGAAGCUUCCACUAACACAAAAGAGAACUUCCAAGCAGAUGAACUAAUGGAUGACACUGAUGAAGAUCUCAUGUAAUGAUUGGUUCGAACUUUGAAUGUAUAAUAAUUUGCUAAGACCUAACCAUAUUUGUCAGUUGUAUAUAAACAUCUUGGGUGCAACAUUUUUCGUUUGGUCAAUAGAAUAUCAAAAUUUUUGAGCACUAUAAAAUGUGAAUGACAAGUUUGGUUAAAACACCCGCUCUUGCUCAAAAACUUCAUUC
Rosa rugosa (rugosa rose) is the source of this 1099-nucleotide RNA transcript. RefSeq lists it as uncharacterized. The transcript is spliced from 7 exons. NCBI's taxonomy places the organism in Eukaryota, Viridiplantae, Streptophyta, Magnoliopsida, Rosales, Rosaceae. The record is from RefSeq and is a predicted model, not a curated record.